GAUAUAUACUGACACACACAUACACUGACAUACAAAUAUAUCCUGGCAGACAUACUGACACACACACACACACAGACAUACAUACAUACACACACAGACACAUACACUGACAGACAUACUGACUGACACACACAUACACACACAGACAUACUUACAUACACACACAGACAUACUGACACACACACACAGACAUACUGACAUACACACAGACAGACGUACUGG
Molecule: non-coding RNA, 222 nt
Organism: Pelobates cultripes (western spadefoot toad)
Lineage: Eukaryota; Metazoa; Chordata; Amphibia; Anura; Pelobatidae
Source: the annotation of a GenBank genome assembly